UUCCUGAGAGGUGAUGCGUAGCCGUAGCGGCGAAAUCCAUGAUCCUAUGCUGCCGAGAAAAGCCUCUAGCGAGCUGGUACAUGGCCCGUACCCCAAACCGACACAGGUGGUCAGGUAGAGAACACUAAGGCGAUCGAGAGAACUGUGGUUAAGGAACUCGGCAAAAUGCCCCCGUAACUUCGGGAGAAGGGGGACCAGUCCUGGUGACGACAUUUACUGUCUGAGCUGGGGUUGGUCGCAGAGACCAGAGAGAAGCGACUGUUUACUAAAAACACAGGUCCGUGCGAAGUCGUAAGACGAUGUAUACGGACUGACGCCUGCCCGGUGCUGGAAGGUUAAGAGGACCGGUCAGCCACUUCGGUGGCGAAGCUGAGAAUUUAAGCCCCAGUAAACGGCGGUGGUAACUAUAACCAUCCUAAGGUAGCGAAAUUCCUUGUCGGGUAAGUUCCGACCUGCACGAAUGGCGUAACGACUUCUCUGCUGUCUCAACCACAGACUCGGCGAAAUUGCAGUACGAGUAAAGAUGCUCGUUACGCGCGGCAGGACGAAAAGACCCCGGGACCUUCACUAUAGCUUGGUAUUGGUGUUCGGUUCGGUUUGUGUAGGAUAGGUGGGAGACUGUGAAACUCGCACGCCAGUGUGGGUGGAGUCAUUGUUGAAAUACCACUCUGACCGUAUUGGACAUCUAACCUCGGACCAUGAUCUGGUUCAGGGACAGUGCCUGGUGGGUAGUUUAACUGGGGCGGUUGCCUCCUAAAAAGUAACGGAGGCGCCCAAAGGUUCCCUCAGCCUGGUUGGCAAUCAGGUGUUGAGUGUAAGUGCACAAGGGAGCUUGACUGUGAGACGUACAUGUCGAGCAGGGACGAAAGUCGGGACUAGUGAUCCGGCACCGGCAAGUGGAAGCGGUGUCGCUCAACGGAUAAAAGGUACCCCGGGGAUAACAGGCUGAUCUUCCCCAAGAGUCCAUAUCGACGGGAUGGUUUGGCACCUCGAUGUCGGCUCGUCGCAUCCUGGGGCUGGAGUAGGUCCCAAGGGUUGGGCUGUUCGCCCAUUAAAGCGGCACGCGAGCUGGGUUUAGAACGUCGUGAGACAGUUCGGUCUCUAUCCGCCGCGCGCGUAAGAAACUUGAGGAAACCUGUCCCUAGUACGAGAGGACCGGGACGGACGAACCUCUGGUGUGCCAGUUGUUCCACCAGGAGCACCGCUGGUUAGCUACGUUCGGAAGGGAUAACCGCUGAAAGCAUCUAAGCGGGAAGCCUGUUCCAAGAUGAGGUUUCUCACCACCUAGCGUGGUUAAGGCCCCCCACAGACCAUGGGGUUGAUAGGCCAGAACUGUAAGCACAGCAAUGUGUUCAGGUGACUGGUACUAAUCGGCCGAGGACUUACC
RNAcentral lists this ribosomal RNA (1387 nucleotides) under metagenome. RNAcentral's name for it is "bacterial LSU rRNA". It matches the Rfam family "Bacterial large subunit ribosomal RNA", at positions 1553 to 2925 of the family's 2925-position model. The record is from RNAcentral.